AACAAUGAGUGCUUGCACUCAGCGUUUUAAGUGCGAGUGGCGAACGGGUGAGUAACACGUGGGCAAUCUGCCCAAAAGUGGGGGAUAACACUUGGAAACAGGUGCUAAUACCGCAUCAACCGGCUGACCGCAUGGUCGGCCGGGCAAAGACGGCGUCCGCUGUCGCUUUUGGAUGAGCCCGCGGCGUAUUAACUAGUUGGUAAGGUAACGGCUUACCAAGGUGAUGAUACGUAGCCGAACUGAGAGGUUGAUCGGCCACAUUGGGACUGAGACACGGCCCAAACUCCUACGGGAGGCAGCAGUAGGGAAUCUUCCACAAUGGACGCAAGUCUGAUGGAGCAACGCCGCGUGUAUGAAGAAGGUCUUCGGAUCGUAAAAUACUGUUGUCAGAGAAGAACAC
Molecule: ribosomal RNA, 400 nt
Filed under: Ligilactobacillus acidipiscis
Lineage: Bacteria; Bacillati; Bacillota; Bacilli; Lactobacillales; Lactobacillaceae
Description: bacterial SSU rRNA
Rfam family: Bacterial small subunit ribosomal RNA
Source: RNAcentral